GCUGAUUUGGAAAGUGGAGAAGAUAAUGAUUCCUGUAAUCAACUCACUGUAAAUAGCAGCACCACAUUUAAACACGUGCUGUAACAUUUAGUCCCUGUGAGAGUUAAUGACUCUUAAUGAUAGUGUGUGUUUGUGAUGGUUGGUUUUCGUACAGCGCCCUUUGCUGAUCUGUCAUAGUGUGGGAGCUGGCAGCACAGUACUAGACAGACCAUACAGUACUAGACAGACCAGACAGACCACACAGUACCAGGCAGACUAGACAGACCAGACAGACCAUACAGUACCAGGCAGACUAGACAGACCAGACAGACCAGACAGUACCAGGCAGACCAGACAGUACUAGACAGACCAGACAGACCAGACAGUACCAGGCAGACUAGACAGACCAGACAGACCAGACAGUACCAGACAGACCAUACAGUACUAGACAGACCAGACAGACCAGACAGUACCAGACAGACUAGACAGGCCAGAGAGACUAGACAGACCAGACAGACCAUACAGUACCAGGCAGACUAGACAGUACUAGACAGACUAGACAGACCAGACAGACCAGACAGUACCAGACAGACUAGACAGACCAGACAGACCAGACAGUACCAGACAGACUAGACAGACCAGACAGACUAGACAGACCAGACAGACCAGACAGUACCAGACAGACUAGACAGGCCAGAGAGACGAGACAGACCAGACAGACCAUACAGUACCAGGCAGACUAGACAGUACUAGACAGACUAGACAGACCAGACAGACCAGACAGUACCAGACAGACUAGACAGACCAGACAGCCUAGACAGACCAGACAGUACCAGACAGACCAGACAGUACUAGACAGACCAUACAGUACUAGACAGACCAGACAGACUAGACAGACCAGACAGUACUAGACAGACCAUACAGUACCAGACAGACCAGACAGUACCAGACAGUACCAGACAGACCAGACAGUACCAGACAGUACUAGGCAGACCAGACAGUACCAGACAGUACUAGACAGACCAGACAGACCAGACAGUACCAGACAGUACUAGACAGUACCAGACAGACCAGACAGACCAGACAGACCAGACAGUACUAGACAGUACCAGACAGUACUAGACAGAACAGACAGUACCAGACAGUACCAGACAGUACUAGACAGAACAGACAGUACCAGACAGUACUAGACAGAACAGACAGUACCAGACAGA
This is a long non-coding RNA of Oncorhynchus tshawytscha (Chinook salmon), 1193 nucleotides long. The record is from Ensembl. NCBI's taxonomy places the organism in Eukaryota, Metazoa, Chordata, Actinopteri, Salmoniformes, Salmonidae.